ACUAUCGUCAGCGACGCACGGUACGGCUCACUCUGAUAUUGGAUUUUCUCUGCUUGAGACAUCUUUGUUCAGAUUGACCCUUUUGCUCUCCUUUCCACGGAUUAAUAUUGUGAGCGGAUUCAUACGAGUACGUUCUGUCUUUCAACUUUGCGGUUCAACCAAAGAAGUUCGUUGUCAAGAUGCCUCGUGCCUCGCGCGCUUCGGCUGCAGCCAAGGUGAGGAGGAGGACGAUUCUUCCGAUGGCAACGACUCUGGCUAGAGGCUUCCUCCCUG
Molecule: long non-coding RNA, 273 nt
Organism: Gadus macrocephalus (Pacific cod)
Lineage: Eukaryota; Metazoa; Chordata; Actinopteri; Gadiformes; Gadidae
Exons: 2
Source: RefSeq, a predicted model, not a curated record